This 788-nucleotide ribosomal RNA is filed under the name uncultured archaeon. RNAcentral's name for it is "bacterial SSU rRNA". It matches the Rfam family "Archaeal small subunit ribosomal RNA", at positions 85 to 879 of the family's 1478-position model. The record is from RNAcentral.
ACUGCUCAGUAACACGUCGAUAAUCUGCCCUAAGGUUGGGGAUACCCACGGAAAACUGUGGUUAAUACCCGAUAUUGAAUGGAUUCUGGAACGAACCAUUCAUUAAACGUAAGGCCUUAGGAUGAGUCGGCGGCAGAUUAGGCAGUUGGCGGUGUAACGGACCACCAAACCAAAGAUCUGUAGGGGCCCUGAGAGGGGUAGCCCCGAGAGGGACACUGAAAUACUGGUCCCAGCUCCACGGAGUGCAGCAGGCGCGAAACCUUCGCAAUGCGCGAAAGCGUGACGAGGGGAUUCCGAGUGCUUACAUUUUAUGUAAGCUUUUGCCAAGAGUUAACAUCUUGGAGAAUAAGUGGUGGGUAAGACCGGUGCCAGCAGCCGCGGUAACCCCGGCGCCACGAGUGGCAAUCUUAUAUUGGGCCUAAAGCAUUCGUAGCAGGUUUAAAAAAUCCUUUGUGAAAUUGUUGAACUCAAUACAACAGCAUGCAGGGGACACUUUUAGACUAGAGACUGGGAGGAGUUGGGGGUAUGCCUUGGGGAACGGUUAAAUGUGAUAAUCCAAGGUAGACCACCUGUGGCGAAGGCGCCCAACUAGAACAGUUCUGACUGUGAGGGAUGAAAGCUAGGGUAGCGAUCCGGAUUAGAUACCCGAGUAGUCCUAGCUGUAAACACUGUGAGCUAGGUGUCGCAUAUUCUACGAGAAUAUGCGGUGUCGAAAAGAAGUUGAUAAGCUCACCGCCUGGGAAGUACGGUCGCAAGACUGAAACUUAAAGGAAUUGGCGGGGGAGCAC